RNAcentral lists this long non-coding RNA (761 nucleotides) under Struthio camelus australis. Its description in RNAcentral is "lncRNA (ENSSCUG00000012141.1)". Lineage: Eukaryota; Metazoa; Chordata; Aves; Struthioniformes; Struthionidae. The record is from RNAcentral.
CCCCCUCCCCGGCCGGCGCGCCGUCCCUCCUGCUGGCGUUUCGCAGGCCUUGCCGAGAACGGGGGCUGCGAGCAACAAUACAGAUACCGAGAGAUUAUAUAGAGCGCAGAAUAAGUUUCAUAUAAGGCUUUGGUACAGCACCAUCAUGUCUCAGAUUUAUUUCUAAAUCGUUUACAGAGAAGGAAGGAAAAAAAAAAAAAAAGCUUACUGAAAAAAUAGUGUUUCGUUUUUCCUUUCUUUUUUUUUUUAAUAAUUAUUUUCUUCUUUUGAGUAGCAUACCUGAAGUUCAAAAAUGAACCCUCGAGUCGCCGUCCGGGCUCACGCCCCGUGCAACUUUUGCUGGGCGCCUCUGCGCGAUCUAAAGCACCAAGCAAACCAAGCCCGAGGACGGCGAGACCGCCGCGCCGCCGACCCGGCUCAGGUCCCCAACCCACGUCGCACAAGGCAAGAACCGUCCUCGGAAAAGGAAACGGUGGAUGGAGAAGCAGAGAAGCUGAAACACAAUAUAAUGUAAAAAUACUCGCUCUGCUCCGGCUAUUUAGACUCUCUCCACCUCCGACAGCCUCUCUCGCGCUGCACAGAAGUUUCUGCUGCCUAUUACUAAGGAAUUAUUUUAAAUACUUAUUCCCUCCUCCCCCCCUCUAAAAUAGAAAGUAAAUAUUUAUUUGUAUAAUUUUAUAUACAAUGCAGUUUCAAUACACCAAUAUCAUUUCUUUAGGGGUUCCUAGAGAUACUGGGGCUCGUUUCUCGGGUCCUUUUUU